AUCAGGUUGUGCGACUGACGGAAGCUGGGAGUACCCAGGGGGAACACAACACGAAGAAUUGCCGACCGUCUGGGCACCGUUU
This 82-nucleotide non-coding RNA is filed under the name Clostridium sp. Its description in RNAcentral is "ZTP sequence". It matches the Rfam family "ZMP/ZTP riboswitch aptamer (pfl RNA motif)". From Rfam's summary of the family: Previously known as pfl RNA. ZMP is also known as AICAR. The record is from RNAcentral. Lineage: Bacteria; Bacillati; Bacillota; Clostridia; Eubacteriales; Clostridiaceae. RNAcentral also lists the same sequence under 1 other name.